UGGGCUUGACAUGUUUGUCAUAGUCCCGUGAAAGCGGGACGUCAGUUCGGCUGGACAAUCACAGGUGCUGCAUGGCUGUCGUCAGCUCGUGUCGUGAGAUGUUGGUUUAAGUACCGCAACGAGCGCAACCCCUGUGUCCUGUUGCCACGGAGAACACGUUUCUCCAGCACUCUGGACAGACUGCCUCAUUUGAAUGAGGAGGAAGGUGGGGAUGACGUCAAGUCAGUAUGGCCCUUACGCCCAGGGCUGCACACGUGCUACAAUGGCAGUGACAAUGGGAUAAUCCCAAAAAGCUGUCUCAGUUCAGAUUGUCCUCUGCAACUCGAGGGCAUGAAGGUGGAAUCGCUAGUAAUCGUGGAUCAGCAUGCCACGGUGAAUACGUUCCCGGGUCU
Molecule: ribosomal RNA, 392 nt
Filed under: uncultured bacterium
Lineage: Bacteria
Description: bacterial SSU rRNA
Rfam family: Bacterial small subunit ribosomal RNA
Source: RNAcentral